Molecule: ribosomal RNA, 315 nt
Filed under: uncultured bacterium
Lineage: Bacteria
Description: bacterial SSU rRNA
Rfam family: Bacterial small subunit ribosomal RNA
Source: RNAcentral
AACGAACGCUGGCGGCAUGCCUAACACAUGCAAGUCGAACGGGAUCCUAGCUUGCUAGGUGAGAGUGGCGGACGGGUGAGUACACGUGGGAAUCUGCCUUUUGGUUCGGGAUAACCGCGGGAAACUGCGGCUAAUACCGAAUGCCCUCGAGAGAGGAAAGAUUUAUCGCCAGAAAGAGGAGCCCGCGUCCGAUUAGGUAGUUGGUGGGGUAAAAGGCCUACCAAGCCGACGAUCGGUAGCUGGUCUGAGAGGAUGAUCAGCCACACUGGGACUGAGAUACGGCCCAGACUCCUACGGGAGGCAGCAGUGGGGAAU